GCCAGGCAUGGUGACGCAUGCCUGUAAUCUCAGCUACUUGGAAGCUGAGGCAGAAGAAUCACUUGAACCCAGGAAGUGGAGACUGCAGUGAGCCAAGAUCAUGCCACUGCACUCCAGCCUGGGUGACAGAGGGAGACUCUGUCUCAA
Unclassified non-coding RNA from Callithrix jacchus (white-tufted-ear marmoset), 147 nucleotides. It matches the Rfam family "Metazoan signal recognition particle RNA". Rfam says of the family: The signal recognition particle (SRP) is a universally conserved ribonucleoprotein. It is involved in the co-translational targeting of proteins to membranes. Lineage: Eukaryota; Metazoa; Chordata; Mammalia; Primates; Cebidae. The record is from Ensembl.